AGAGUUUGAUCCUGGCUCAGAAUCAACGCUGGCGGCGCGCUUAACACAUGCAAGUCGCACGAGAAAGUCCGCAAGGAUGAGUAAAGUGGCGUACGGGUGAGUAACACGUGGAUCAUCUACCUCUUAGUGGGGGAUAACCCUGGGAAACCGGGGCUAAUACCGCAUGAGCCUGAGAAGGGAAAGCAGCAAUGCGCUGAGAG
This 200-nucleotide ribosomal RNA is filed under the name uncultured bacterium. Its description in RNAcentral is "partial 16S ribosomal RNA". It matches the Rfam family "Bacterial small subunit ribosomal RNA", at positions 8 to 224 of the family's 1533-position model. The record is from RNAcentral.